RNAcentral lists this transfer RNA (24 nucleotides) under Callisaurus draconoides bogerti. RNAcentral's name for it is "partial tRNA-Lys". Lineage: Eukaryota; Metazoa; Chordata; Lepidosauria; Squamata; Phrynosomatidae. The record is from RNAcentral.
AGGGAAAUAGCUACCCCUCAAUGA